RNAcentral lists this ribosomal RNA (431 nucleotides) under uncultured bacterium. RNAcentral's name for it is "partial 16S ribosomal RNA". It matches the Rfam family "Bacterial small subunit ribosomal RNA", at positions 338 to 795 of the family's 1533-position model. The record is from RNAcentral.
CCUACGGGUGGCAGCAGUGAGGAAUAUUGGUCAAUGGGCGUCAGCCUGAACCAGCCAAGUAGCGUGAAGGAUGAAGGUCUAUGGGUCGUAAACUUCUUUUAUAUAAGAAUAUGUAUUAUAUGAAUAAGGAUCGGCUAACUCCGUGCCAGCAGCCGCGGUAAUACGGAGGAUCCGAGCGUUAUCCGGAUUUAUUGGGUUUAAAGGGAGCGUAGGUGGAUUAUUAAGUCAGCUGUGAAAGUUUGCGGCUCAACCGUAAAAUUGCAGUUGAUACUGGUAAUCUUGAGUUAAGUAAAGGUGGGCGGAAUUCGUGGUGUAGCGGUGAAAUGCUUAGAUAUCACGAAGAACUCCAAUUGCGAAGGCAGCUCACUGGCUUUACUGACACUGAUGCUCGAAAGUGUGGGUAUCAAACAGGAUUAGAUACCCCAGUAGUC